UACGUAGGGGGCAAGCGUUGUCCGGAUUUAUUGGGCGUAAAGAGCGUGUAGGCGGCCAGACAGGUCCGUUGUGAAAACUCGAGGCUCAACCUCGAGACGCCGAUGGAAACCGUUUGGCUAGAGUCCGGAGGAGGAGAGUGGAAUUCCUGGUGUAGCGGUGAAAUGCGCAGAUAUCAGGAAGAACACCCGUGGCUAAGGCGGCUCUCUAGUACGGUACUGACGCUGAGACGCGAAAGCGUGGGGAGCGAACAGG
This 253-nucleotide ribosomal RNA is filed under the name uncultured bacterium. RNAcentral's name for it is "partial 16S ribosomal RNA". It matches the Rfam family "Bacterial small subunit ribosomal RNA", at positions 524 to 776 of the family's 1533-position model. The record is from RNAcentral.